Molecule: small nucleolar RNA, 104 nt
Filed under: Morus notabilis
Lineage: Eukaryota; Viridiplantae; Streptophyta; Magnoliopsida; Rosales; Moraceae
Description: Plant small nucleolar RNA R71
Rfam family: Plant small nucleolar RNA R71
About the family: R71 is a member of the C/D box family of snoRNAs containing the C (UGAUGA) and D (CUGA) box motifs. Multiple nearly identical copies of this snoRNA have been identified in Arabidopsis, and it is thought to function as a 2'-O-ribose methylation guide for 18S ribosomal RNA.
Source: Rfam by way of RNAcentral
ACCUCAUGAUGAGGACAUCUCCUGCACAACUCUUGAAAUCUCUCCCAAGCUUCUGAUAAAGUCUCCCUAUCAUGUUGCACAAUUAGUAAUUUUAUUUCUCAUCU